RNAcentral lists this ribosomal RNA (492 nucleotides) under uncultured bacterium. RNAcentral describes it as "partial 16S ribosomal RNA". It matches the Rfam family "Bacterial small subunit ribosomal RNA", at positions 29 to 507 of the family's 1533-position model. The record is from RNAcentral.
AGUGAACGCUGGCGGUAGGCCUAACACAUGCAAGUCGAACGGCAGCACAGUAAGAGCUUGCUCUUACGGGUGGCGAGUGGCGGACGGGUGCGGAAUACAUCGGAAUCUACUUUUUCGUGGGGGAUAACGUAGGGAAACUUACGCUAAUACCUCAUACGACCUACGGGUGAAAGCAGGGGAUCUUCGGACCUUGCGCGAUUGAAUGAGCCGAUGUCGGAUUAGCUAGUUGGCGGGGUAAAGGCCCACCAAGGCGACGAUCCGUAGCUGAUCUGAGAGGAUGAUCAGCCACACUGGAACUGAGACACGGUCCAGACUCCUACGGGAGGCCGCAGUGGGGAAUAUUGGACAAUGGGCGCAAGCCUGCUCCAGCCAUACCGCGUGGGUGAAGAAGGCCUUCGGGUUGUAAAGCCCUUUUGUUGGGAAAGAAAAGCAGCAGGUUAAUACCCCGCUGUUCUGACGGUACCCAAAGAAUAAGCACCGGCUAACUUCGUG